Mauremys mutica (yellowpond turtle) is the source of this 692-nucleotide long non-coding RNA. RefSeq lists it as uncharacterized. The transcript is spliced from 3 exons. NCBI's taxonomy places the organism in Eukaryota, Metazoa, Chordata, Testudines, Geoemydidae. The record is from RefSeq and is a predicted model, not a curated record.
AAGCGAAGUUAACACCAUGUAGGGGAGCAGGUGCCUUAAAGUCUGGCUUCGCCCCCAAAAGGAUACUAAGAAGGAAGCUGAAAGGAAAAUCUACCGAAGACCCCGACCUAGCAAAUCCUUACUCAUGAGAGUAGCUUUCUGCACUGAAAUAGAUCUCCUGGCUGCUCACGCCCAUUGACUUGAGUGUGGCUGCUCCCAAGAAUAAAGUUACUUGCAGAGGACGUCACAUUAGAGGAGCACAAUUGUCCCUUCUGGCCGCUCAAUCCAUGAGUUGGAGCCGGUAGAAGAAAACAGCAAACAGUUCUGUGAAGAUCGCCCAGUUCAUUGAAAGGGUUUUCAGUGCGUUUCGAAGUGUGGGACAAAGUGUUUCGCAGGGUGGAACCGCGUCGGCCAGCGCUAGCGGCGGGGGAGACGCUCCAAGCAUUGCUCUGAAUGUUUGUACUGACAUUUUGCAUUGGGGUUGCUGAAAUGCCAACAACUGCAGCAAGAAACCAAAACGAGGGAAAUGCCGACCAGCCCGGCCAUGAACGGAGCUGAUGAACCUUCCUCCAAGGCGCGUGACAGCUACUCACGCGUGGCCAGUGGAAAAGAGACCCAGUGACGCCGCCGACAUGCCUGGCGAGUCUUUUCCUUUUAACACGAAAACCUCGGCCUCUGCGUUCUUGGCUGGGACUUUUCCUGCCUCUGUCACU